Molecule: ribosomal RNA, 433 nt
Filed under: uncultured bacterium
Lineage: Bacteria
Description: partial 16S ribosomal RNA
Rfam family: Bacterial small subunit ribosomal RNA
Source: RNAcentral
AACGAACGCUGGCGGCAGGCCUAACACAUGCAAGUCGAGCGCACCCUUCGGGGUGAGCGGCGGACGGGUGAGUAACGCGUGGGAACGUGCCCUUCUCUGCGGAAUAGCCUCGGGAAACUGAGAGUAAUACCGCAUACGCCCUUUGGGGGAAAGAUUUAUCGGAGAAGGAUCGGCCCGCGUUGGAUUAGGUAGUUGGUGGGGUAAUGGCCCACCAAGCCGACGAUCCAUAGCUGGUUUGAGAGGAUGAUCAGCCACACUGGGACUGAGACACGGCCCAGACUCCUACGGGAGGCAGCAGUGGGGAAUCUUAGACAAUGGGGGCAACCCUGAUCUAGCCAUGCCGCGUGAGUGAUGAAGGCCUUAGGGUUGUAAAGCUCUUUCAGCUGGAAAGAUAAUGACGGUACCAGCAGAAGAAGCCCCGGCUAACUCCGUG